GAUGAACGCUGGCGGCGUGCCUAAUACAUGCAAGUCGAGCGAACGGACGAGAAGCUUGCUUCUCUGAUGUUAGCGGCGGACGGGUGAGUAACACGUGGAUAACCUACCUAUAAGACUGGGAUAACUUCGGGAAACCGGAGCUAAUACCGGCUAAUAUUUUGAACCGCAUGGUUCAAGAGUGAAAGACGCUCUUGCUGUCACUUAUAGAUGGAUCCGCGCUGCAUUAGCUAGUUGGUAAGGUAACGGCUUACCAAGGCAACGAUGCAUAGCCGACCUGAGAGGGUGAUCAGCCACACUGGAACUGAGACACGGUCCAGACUCCUACGGGAGGCAGCAGUAGGGAAUCUUCCGCAAUGGGCGAAAGCCUGACGGAGCAACGCCGCGUGAGUGAUGAAGGUCUUCGGAUCGUAAAACUCUGUUAUUAGGGAAGAACAGAUGUGUAAGUAACUGUGCACAUCUUGACGGUACCUAAACAGAAAGCCACGGCUAACUACGUG
Molecule: ribosomal RNA, 497 nt
Filed under: uncultured bacterium
Lineage: Bacteria
Description: partial 16S ribosomal RNA
Rfam family: Bacterial small subunit ribosomal RNA
Source: RNAcentral